GAUUGCAUUAAUUUCUUCUCUGUAAUCGCGGCUG
Bacteroides fragilis NCTC 9343 is the source of this 34-nucleotide regulatory RNA element. It matches the Rfam family "S4-Bacteroidia ribosomal protein leader". NCBI's taxonomy places the organism in Bacteria, Pseudomonadati, Bacteroidota, Bacteroidia, Bacteroidales, Bacteroidaceae. The record is from Rfam.